GUAUAAAUAAUUUUACUUUGAAACUGCGAAUGGCUCAUUAUAUCAGUUAUAGUUUAUUAGAAAUAYUUUACUACUUGGAUAACCGUAGUAAUUCUAGGGCUAAUACAUGAGUAAAWCCUCAACUUCGGAAGAGGUGUGUUUAUUAGUAUGAAAACCAUAUAUCUUCGGAUAUAAUAGUGAGUAAUAAUAACCUUUCAUAUCGUAUGUCGUAAGAUAACGAUAGUUCUUUCAAGUUUCUGCCCUAUCAGCUUUCGAUGGUAGUAUAUGGGACUACCAUGGCAGUAACGGGUAACGAAGAAUUUGGGUUCGAUUUCGGAGAGGGAGCCUGAGAGAUGGCUACCACAUCCAAGGAAGGCAGCAGGCGCGUAAAUUACCCAAUCCUGACAUAGGGAGGUAGUGACAAUAAAUCACAAUGCGGAACUUUUAGUUUUGCAAUUGGAUUGAGAACAAUGUACAAAUGUUAUCGAUAAACAAUUGGAGGGCAAGUCUGG
Molecule: ribosomal RNA, 491 nt
Filed under: Blastocystis sp.
Lineage: Eukaryota; Bigyra; Opalinata; Blastocystidae
Description: SSU rRNA
Source: RNAcentral